This 483-nucleotide ribosomal RNA is filed under the name uncultured bacterium. RNAcentral describes it as "bacterial SSU rRNA". It matches the Rfam family "Bacterial small subunit ribosomal RNA", at positions 29 to 524 of the family's 1533-position model. The record is from RNAcentral.
AACGAACGCUGGCGGCGCGUCUUAAACAUGCAAGUCGAACGAUCUGUAGCAAUACAGGGAGUGGCGGACGGGUGAGGAACACGUAGGAAUCUACCUUGAAGAGCGGGACAACUUUGGGAAACCGGGGCUAAUACCGCAUAGUACAGAGAUGUUAAAGGGCUAGCAAUAGUCGCUUCGAGAUGAGCCUGCGGUCUAUCAGCUUGUUGGUGAGGUAAUGGCUCACCAAGGCUACGACGGAUAGCCGGUCUGAGAGGAUGAUCGGCCACACUGGCACUGAGACACGGGCCAGACUCCUACGGGAGGCAGCAGUUAAGAAUCUUGCGCAAUGGGGGAAACCCUGACGCAGCGACGCCGCGUGGAGGAUGAAGGCUUUCGGGUUGUAAACUUCGGUAGACUGGGAAGAAGAAAUACGUUCGUUGAGGGCGUAUAGUGACGGUACCAGUCUGAAGCCCCGGCUAAUUACGUGCCAGCAGCCGCGGUAAU